CAUCAGCAAGAAUGGUGAGGAGACAGAAGGGAAAGAAAACACAAGAACAAGCAAGUCAACCAAGCCCACGAAGCAUGUCUGGCUGUGUGAGAGGCACCAAGCUGAAAGAACAUCAUGGGGAUCAGUUAGAGAAGCAUCUGAAUUGGCCAACGUAGACCAUGCUGUCGUGUCGGGCUCCCCCUUGGAGAUAAAGGCAGCAUCUGCUCGGUUGACAGCAGGUGAACAGGGUGGCAGGAGGGCCAGGAGCUGUAUCUGGCUGGCUCCUCAUAGGAUGGUGUGAAGAGUCAUGGGAUGAAAGGGCCUGAAGGUGACGGAAGCCCUUUGUAUUUUCUCCCUAAGAAGAGACAUGAAGCUGGAAUGAGAGAAGAAAGACAACGUGUGGAAAGCAAAAGAAAAUUAAAUAUCCUUUA
Molecule: long non-coding RNA, 410 nt
Organism: Nycticebus coucang (slow loris)
Lineage: Eukaryota; Metazoa; Chordata; Mammalia; Primates; Lorisidae
Exons: 3
Source: RefSeq, a predicted model, not a curated record